GCACUCGCGAGCUCUCUUGACCGAAGUAGAGUGAUCGAACUUCUCUGCGAGUACACCGAGAUUACUUGGAAGAAAUUAAUUGUUCUCUGAAAUUGCAAUAUUUGCUUGAUAUCUUGGAUAAAUAAUUGUUAUUCUUAAAUUAAAUUUGAACAGAUAUUAAUUCAAUUUAUAUUUAAGAAUUUACACAGAGCAGGCCAACAAAAACUGUCUUUUCAGAAAUUCAUUAUUUAAAAAAUUUUUGGUGUUGGAAUUUCAACUCGAUUUUCGAUCGGAAAUAUUACAGGAAAGAUCCAAAGGAUCCUUGUAUAACUACAGGUAAUUAUCCUGUAGUCUUGGAUCACCACAAAGGAUCUUAAGGGACGCCUUUGAUUGAAUAGGGUUUGGCGUGUACACACGAAGGAAGGCGCAAGAUUGCAACGGGGAUUAAAAUAUUUCAAAAGGCUAGGGUGGCCAGGUUUUCGGCCAAACGCAAGAGUAAUGGUUCUUUUAAAUUUCUAAGGUGACCCAGAUACACGCGGGCCGAGAGACAGAGGGUGUGUACACGAGCCACUCCUGUGAUCUUGCUUGAAGCAAGCGUCGUAAAGAUAAAAAAAAAGCCUCCUCUUUCUCUUUAACGAUUCUUUCUUCUGCGGUAUUCAUAUUAAUGGUCGUUGGCGUCUUCCAAAGGGUGAUCACGUUUCUACUAUAGCUGUAUUUCAACCUCGAUGUCGGCGGGGACCAUAAUCGUUUCAAGUGACCAUGGUAAUUAUGCGCGAACCGUUUUCAAAGCGUCUUUCCGGAAUUGGGUCGAGUUUAUUCCGUUUCGAGGGACGGAUUUUAAAUAAAGAAUCUUGAGAAUAUCGGGAAUUUGAUUAUGUAAAAAGUAUCGGACGAGGAAGAAUGUAUAUAGUAUUAUAGAAUUGUUAAAUAUAUAUUCGCGGGAGAAAACACUUUAUCGAUUUAAGAUAACUUUUCAUUUAAUUGAAAAAGAAUCUUAAUAGAUAUAUUAUUAGUCGUGAAAAGUAAAAAAAGGAGCUAUCUCGUAAUAUACGAACCGUUAAAGCUUGAUCAAACUCUAUUAAAAUUAGAAAAACUUUGAACCACUGCAAUUCCGAAAAUAGUGACUUCCGGUCAAUGAAUAAAAGAUCGUUGGAAGCGUGAAAGUUUACCCUUUAAAACGAUUCUUCGUUCGUCACGAUACGACUUCCGGUUCUCGAGAUAUCGUCGUGUAAAGAAAAGGUAAUUUUCGAUCAUUGAUCUUGAAUCCGAUUAAAUCCCGUUAUUGAAAUUAGGAAAAGUUCGAAUCGCUGUAACUUCGAAAAUAAUAACUUUCGAGCAACGAAUAAAAGAUCGUUAGAAGCGUGAAAUCUUGCUCUUUAAAACGGUUUUUCAUUCGUUUUCAUACGUCUUCCGGUUCCCGAGAUAUCGUCGUCUAAAGAAAACCGUAAUUUUUAAUCGUUCAUUAUAUCGCUUACACCUAUUCUUACCGACUCUUAUUCCAAGCUUCAGACAAGCGGCAUAGAAACGAUUUGUAGAAAAAUAUAAUUAUUUUGUCUUUUUUCUUGAAGUAUAUAUACAAAUUAAUCAACGUGACUUUUAUUUUUUAUACAUUUUAUACAUUCUUAUAUUAAUAAUCCGAGAGGAAGGGAAAAAAUUAGAAAAAGUAAAAGAAUCAAACUAUAAAGAUUUGCGUUUGAAAACAUAUUUCAAUAUUUACGCGAGUGUUUACUUGGACAAUCGUAGCGUUGGUCAUUUUUCCUUCGCGCAACUCCACCCUAUAUUUACAAGAGUUCGCGCUUUGUCAUUGUUUCCCUCGACUCGUAUUUCUCCAUUCCACCAGCCUCUUUCUUUUCUUUUUUUUUUUUUUUUUUUCCUGUUGCGAAAACCAACAGGGAAUUGGAACAAUGAGCUCGUUUAUAGUGACGAUUUAAUUUCGUUAAUUAACCGGGCACUUUGCUUCGAAGCGAAAACAAUUAUGAUAUAGAAAACUGAAAAUGUGAUUCGUAUAAAAAAUUUUUAACCUCCAUUUAGAAAUAACAACAUAAUUUCUUGUUUUUCUCAAACUUGUUCGUCGCAACAAUAAUAAUUUUAACGUGAUGCAAUAUUUCUAGGAAAAUAUGAACGUUCCUCGUUAAAUUGGAAUAACAGUGCAAUUCUAACUUGUGCGAUUUAUUCUUAUAUUCGUUUCAUUGAAAGCUAAUGGAAAAAUGUUAUGGAUUUACGCGUAUUUUCUGAAUAGAAGAAAAAAUAAAUCGUUUCUAAUAAAAGAACGAAGAUAAAAAUAAAAAUAAAUGGGAAAUAUUGUAUUGCAAAUUUGUUUGAAUUAUUCAUAUCUGCAUCACGAAAUGUUGUAAUUUCUUUCUUCGUUUUUCUCACAGUCACGAUCGUUUGAAGUAUACCAAUUGCAUCAUAUUCCCACAUUUAUUUCUCUGUUACACAAAAAUAGAUAACCUUCACAUCGAUACAAAACGUUUCAUGUAUAUAGAUUAUAAUUAAUUCCACAAACGUAGUGUGAUAAAAAUUUGUCGAAACAAAAUUCUGAAAUUUCUUACGGCACUCGAACCUAAAAUUUUAUAAAAUUCGUUAAAAACUCCAACAAUCGUGAUCGCCCACAGGAUGAAGCAACGUUUCUCAAGCAACUAUCGAUAUUAAUCGAAACGCAUUAAGGGAUACGAUAGCACGGAAGCAGGGAUCCAUUGUUGCUCGACGUUACAUCUCGAUAUCUGCUCGUCCUUGCAAAUACCGAGCAAAUCCAUCAAGAUUCUCGUCGAAAGCAUCGACACGAGGCGAGAGAGAGAGAGAGAGAGGGAUAUUGGGAAGUAAUGCUGGCCAAGUAAAACGAAAGAUAUAUUCGACAAUGAGAAAUAAUGGAAGAUGGAUAAAGCAUCGUGUCCAAUAAUAAUUCAAUUAGCAAUGAAGAUUCUCUCAAGUUUGUAAUUUUGAAAAAAAUUUUUUAAACAAUCCGCCCAACUCGAGAUAUUCAAACUAAAUUUCGACAAGUUUCAAUUGAUAUUAGUCUGAUAUUAUUUCUUACUUUCAAAUAUUAAAUCGAUAUACUCGACCAUUUCCAAACGAAUCUUACAACGUUUUGGAUCAAAGUCUUCUAAUUUCCAUGAUGAAUAAUUUGAUGGUAUUUCACGUCGAAGGAUAUCCUUUAAAAAAGGAGGGGGGGAGGGCUCGAUUAAUGAAAAUUAAGAUUAAUGAAAUAAAAUUGAUUUCGUCAAGGAAGAAGAGUGGAAACGAAAAGAAGGAACGAAAGAUAAAGGAAGGGGGAAAUGAUUAAGAGCCAUUACCUGUUCCCCCCUCGAAAACGUUUUUCACCAAUCCAAAACCUUUCGAUAUUAAACCUGGUUAUCAAUUAUUAUUCCGUCUGCAGAGCGUUCGUUCAUUUGUUAAUCAAUUUCCCCUUUCGAUUAAGCGUACUGGAAAUUGCGAUCGAGGGUCAAGGGAUUAAUUCCACGGAAUUCUAAAAUAACGAUUCCUCUCGCAGACGUUAUUUUCAUGCAAAUGUCGAGGCGAAAGAGAGAGAGAGGGGGGAAGUGGCCGAUCCCCUGGCUCGAUUUUUGCUCGCUUUUCAUACGCAUCAUCAAACCUUUAUUCCUCCACUUUUGUAUUUUGUUGUAUAUUUUAUCGAGUUAGAAAAUGGGUGACCGGAAUCAAAGAAACCGGGAUAAAAAACUUUUUUCCUUCCUGUUUGGCGCGAAAAAUUCGUUGUUUUGAAAAAUUCGGGGGGAACUAUUGUGACCGUUAAUCAAAAUAGUCUCUUGUUUUUCGACGUGUAUAAUAUAAAUAAAUAUCGUUGCCAAUUUUUGUUAUAAAAAUCUCAAUUGACAAAUUCUACUUAAUCAACGCAUUCACAGUUGUAUGAGUUAGUUGCGAAAUCAAAUUAAAAAAAAAAAGAAAAAAAUAACCGUUGUAAAUUUUAAUUGAUAAUUUUCAAAAUGAUCCGAUUUCAAGUUGGACGAGUACUCUCGAUCGUUUUAGAUCGAUAAACGUGUCAAUCGCUACGUUUCUUUUUCUUUUUUACGAAAAAUAAAUUGAUUCAAGUAAGUAAUACAGAUGUAGAUUUGUUAGAUAUCGUUUUCUUCUAUGAUAUAAUUUUUAUUUAACACGAUUCUUUAUGCUCAUAUAAAAUAUCGUUGAAUUGUAUUCGCGAAUGUAAUCGCAUCUUCGAGCGAGAAAGGAUGCAAUGGCGGUUAAUCAAAACAGGAGGGAUUAACUUUGCAGGGAAGAAAGGCGUCGAUUCCACCUCGACUCGUUCAAUAAAAAUUCCUGGUCAACCAAUUCCAACUAUUGUUCUUCAUCCUACCUCCCCCUCCCUCUGAUUGGGGAGGGGGACGGUUGAAACUCUUGUCCAAGUUUUUCGGCCGUGGACAGGAGAAGCGAUUACGAAUCGAACGACUGCCGCCACGGGAGGAUUAAGUUUUCGUAUUUUAUUUCGUAUCAUAGAUCGUUGGACGAUCGAAUUAAAAAAGAAUCACUUUUUCCUCCCUUCUUUGCCGGAUAAUGCAUCGAUUUCGAUUUAUUUAACUUUUAAUCGCCUCGUUUUAAUUUUGAUGCUGGGGAAUAGCGUUGAUAUAUUUAAAUAUGCCGCGCGUAGUAUUUUUAAUUGCUUGCAAAAAAAAGGAGGAGGAGGAAAGAAAUAUGAAAUAAAGAAAUAUAGAUAAUUUUGACAAUUUUAAGAAUAAUUCUAAAGUGGGAAUAAUUUAAAUGUUCGACUCGAACGACAGAUCCUCUGUGCUGAAGAAUACAAGAAAUAAAGAGAGAGAGAAAA
This is a long non-coding RNA of Apis cerana (Asiatic honeybee), 4753 nucleotides long. RefSeq lists it as uncharacterized. NCBI's taxonomy places the organism in Eukaryota, Metazoa, Arthropoda, Insecta, Hymenoptera, Apidae. The record is from RefSeq and is a predicted model, not a curated record.